Molecule: ribosomal RNA, 301 nt
Filed under: uncultured bacterium
Lineage: Bacteria
Description: partial 16S ribosomal RNA
Rfam family: Bacterial small subunit ribosomal RNA
Source: RNAcentral
CAGUAGCCGCGGUAAUACGAGGGGGGCAAGCGUUGUUCGGAAUUAUUGGGCGUAAAGGGCGCGUAGGCGGUUUGACAAGUUUGGUGUGAAAUCUAUGGGCUCAACCCAUAGCCUGCAUCGAAAACUGUCGGGCUUGAGUAUGGGAGAGGUGAGUGGAAUUUCCGGUGUAGCGGUGAAAUGCGUAGAUAUCGGAAGGAACACCUGUGGCGAAAGCGGCUCACUGGACCAUUACUGACGCUGAGGCGCGAAAGCUAGGGGAGCAAACAGGAUUAGAUACCCGCGUAGUCCCUGUCUCUUAUAC